CAAUAGGGUUUCUGCUGUGAAUAGCACAUGGACGAGGAGCUUGUGCUUUAUCUGUGUGGAAUCGAUAUCAAGAGAUUUCGGAAGCACAAUUUUUGUUUCUUGAAGCUGCUGUUGAUCGUUUGUCUUGGCACUCCA
Carcharodon carcharias (great white shark) is the source of this 135-nucleotide small nuclear RNA. RefSeq annotates it as U11 spliceosomal RNA. NCBI's taxonomy places the organism in Eukaryota, Metazoa, Chordata, Chondrichthyes, Lamniformes, Lamnidae. The transcript has a single exon. The record is from RefSeq and is a predicted model, not a curated record.